GGUUGAGCGUAUGCUUCAAGAUGCCUUUCCUGGGGAAGAAAGG
Molecule: non-coding RNA, 43 nt
Filed under: Lacticaseibacillus zeae DSM 20178 = KCTC 3804
Lineage: Bacteria; Bacillati; Bacillota; Bacilli; Lactobacillales; Lactobacillaceae
Source: RNAcentral